GAUGUUGUGGAAGCACUAAUAGGAGUAUAUUACGUUGAGGGUGGAAAGUAUGCUGCAAACCACUUCAUGAAAUGGAUUGGAGUUGAGGUUGAUUUCGAUUUCAAUUUCAAAGAGACAGAAUACUCUAUUAGGUCUUGUAGCAUUCCUGAGAAUGUACUCAAGAGUGUUGAGUUUGAUGCAUUACAAGGUGCUUUGAACAUCAGCUUCAAUGAUAAAGGCCUACUGCUAGAAGCAAUUACCCAUGCUUCACGCCCAUCUUCUGGGGUCUCCUGUUAUCAAAGACUGGAGUUUGUGGGUGAUGCAGUAUUAGAUCAUCU
Molecule: unclassified non-coding RNA, 317 nt
Filed under: Hevea brasiliensis (rubber tree)
Lineage: Eukaryota; Viridiplantae; Streptophyta; Magnoliopsida; Malpighiales; Euphorbiaceae
Source: RNAcentral